CCCUUAGAUGUUCUGGGCAGCACGCGCGCUACAAUGGUCUUCGCAAACGGAUGCAUUCUCGAAGGAGAAUGCCAAUCUUGGAAUCUAUGCCUUGGUCGGGACAGUUGCUUGCAAUUUUUCGACUCGAACCAGGAAUUCCUUGUAAUUGUGAUUCAUCACAUCACGAUGAAUACGUCCCUGCCCUUUGUACACACCGCCCGUCGCUCCUACCGAUCGAAGAGUUAGGUGAAUUGUUUUGAUCGAUAAGAUUUGACUAUGGUCAACUCUCGUUGUGAAAUUCUGUGAAUCUGACUGUUUAGAGGAAGGAAAAGUCGUAACA
This 319-nucleotide ribosomal RNA is filed under the name uncultured eukaryote. Its description in RNAcentral is "partial 18S ribosomal RNA". It matches the Rfam family "Eukaryotic small subunit ribosomal RNA", at positions 1470 to 1796 of the family's 1831-position model. The record is from RNAcentral.